This is a small nuclear RNA of Falco tinnunculus (common kestrel), 184 nucleotides long. Its record names the gene U2. It matches the Rfam family "U2 spliceosomal RNA". Rfam says of the family: U2 is a small nuclear RNA (snRNA) component of the spliceosome (involved in pre-mRNA splicing). Complementary binding between U2 snRNA (in an area lying towards the 5' end but 3' to hairpin I) and the branchpoint sequence (BPS) of the intron results the bulging out of an unpaired adenosine, on the BPS, which initiates a nucleophilic attack at the intronic 5' splice site, thus starting the first of two transesterification reactions that mediate splicing. The record is from Ensembl. Lineage: Eukaryota; Metazoa; Chordata; Aves; Falconiformes; Falconidae.
CACACUUCCCAGCCACUGACUAAGAUCAAGCUCAUCAUCUUUUCCUAUCACUUUAAUAUCUGAUACCUCCUCAGCUUGAAGACUUUCUAUUAAAUGGAUUUGGAGGGCAUGGGAAGGGUAACCACUUCGUCCAUUCCCUGCACCAACCUGAAACUGCAGUGCUUCCAGGCACUGUGGCUGCGUU